Phyllostomus discolor (pale spear-nosed bat) is the source of this 484-nucleotide long non-coding RNA. RefSeq lists it as uncharacterized. The transcript is spliced from 2 exons. The record is from RefSeq and is a predicted model, not a curated record. Lineage: Eukaryota; Metazoa; Chordata; Mammalia; Chiroptera; Phyllostomidae.
AAGUCAGAGCUACCUCACUGACUGCUGCUCUGUGCCAGGCACCACUACCCACCUGACAUGCAUGAACUCAUUUAGUCUUCACAACCGGCUCUACAGUUUACAUGCUACAGUUACUCCCAUUUUGCAGAGUACAAAACCAAGUUCAGAGAGACUGGAUAACCUACUCAUGGUUACACAGCGCUUAAUGGAAAGAACUGGGAUUUGAACCUAGGCAGUCUGGCUCCAAGGUACCUGCUCUUCACCACCACCAACGUCUGCUAAACUGCGAAGCCUGUGUACAGGACUCUGCCAGCCAGCACCACCUCAGGGACCCUCUAUUCUGCAGGUCAGCUGCACUCCCCAUAGGAAUCCCAUGCCCAGUAAUAGGGCUUUCCCCAAAGACAGGGCAGAGACCAUGGCCCUGAUAUGGAGCCCCCUCCUCCAUGCUAGUGACAGACCAGAGGACCAGCUACUUCUAGACCUUUAUUUCUCUGUGAAGGGGCGG